CGGCAGCACGGGUGCUUGCACCUGGUGGCGAGUGGCGAACGGGUGAGUAAUAUAUCGGAACGUACCCUAGAGUGGGGGAUAACGCAGCGAAAGUUGCGCUAAUACCGCAUACGAUCUACGGAUGAAAGUGGGGGAUCGCAAGACCUCAUGCUCAUGGAGCGGCCGAUAUCUGAUUAGCUAGUUGGUGGGGUAAAAGCCUACCAAGGCAUCGAUCAGUAGCUGGUCUGAGAGGACGACCAGCCACACUGGAACUGAGACACGGUCCAGACUCCUACGGGAGGCAGCAGUGGGGAAUUUUGGACAAUGGGCGCAAGCCUGAUCCAGCAAUGCCGCGUGAGUGAAGAAGGCCUUCGGGUUGUAAAGCUCUUUUGUCAGGGAAGAAACGGUGAGGGCUAAUAUCCUUUGCUAAUGACGGUACCUGAAGAAUAAGCACCGGCUAACUACGUGCCAGCAGCCGCGGUAAUACGUAGGGUGCAAGCGUUAAUCGGAAUUACUGGGCGUAAAGCGUGCGCAGGCGGUUAUGUAAGUCAGAUGUGAAAUCCCCGGGCUCAACCUGGGAAUGGCAUUUGAGACUGCAUGGCUAGAGUGUGUCAGAGGGGGGUAGAAUUCCACGUGUAGCAGUGAAAUGCGUAGAGAUGUGGAGGAAUACCGAUGGCGAAGGCAGCCCCCUGGGAUAACACUGACGCUCAUGCACGAAAGCGUGGGGAGCAAACAGGAUUAGAUACCCUGGUAGUCCACGCCCUAAACGAUGUCUACUAGUUGUCGGGACUUAAUUGUCUUGGUAACGCAGCUAACGCGUGAAGUAGACCGCCUGGGGAGUACGGUCGCAAGAUUAAAACUCAAAGGAAUUGACGGGGACCCGCACAAGCGGUGGAUGAUGUGGAUUAAUUCGAUGCAACGCGAAAAACCUUACCUACCCUUGACAUGUACGGAACCUCUGAGAGAUUAGAGGGUGCUCGAAAGAGAGCCGUAACACAGGUGCUGCAUGGCUGUCGUCAGCUCGUGUCGUGAGAUGUUGGGUUAAGUCCCGCAACGAGCGCAACCCUUGUCAUUAGUUGCUACGAAAGGGCACUCUAAUGAGACUGCCGGUGACAAACCGGAGGAAGGUGGGGAUGACGUCAAGUCCUCAUGGCCCUUAUGGGUAGGGCUUCACACGUCAUACAAUGGUACAUACAGAGGGCCGCCAACCCGCGAGGGGGAGCUAAUCCCAGAAAGUGUAUCGUAGUCCGGAUUGUAGUCUGCAACUCGACUACAUGAAGUUGGAAUCGCUAGUAAUCGCGGAUCAGCAUGUCGCGGUGAAUACGUUCCCGGGUCUUGUACACACCGCCCGU
Molecule: ribosomal RNA, 1331 nt
Filed under: bacterium A13
Lineage: Bacteria
Description: bacterial SSU rRNA
Rfam family: Bacterial small subunit ribosomal RNA
Source: RNAcentral